AGUGAACGCUGGCGGUAGGCCUAACACAUGCAAGUCGAACGGCAGCACAGUAAGAGCUUGCUCUUACGGGUGGCGAGUGGCGGACGGGUGAGGAAUACAUCGGAAUCUACUUUUUCUUGGGGGAUAACGUGGGGAAACUUACGCUACUACCGAAUACGACCUACGGGUGAAAUCAGGGGAUCUUGGGGCUUUGGCCGAUUGAUUUAGCCGAUGUCGGAUUAGAUAGUUGGGGGGGUAAAGGCCCACCAAGGCGAGGCUCCGUAGCUGGUCUGAGAGGAUGAUCAGCCAAACUGGAACUGAGAAACGGUCCAGACUCCUAAGGGAGGCAGCAGUGGGGAAUAUUGGACAAUGGGCGCAAGCCUGAUCCAGCCAUUCCGCGUGGGUGAAGAAGGCCUUCGGGUUGUAAAGCCCUUUUGUUGGGAAAGAAAAGCAGCAGGUUAAUACCCCGCUGUUCUGACGGUACCCAAAGAAUAAGCACCGGCUAACUUCGUG
This 492-nucleotide ribosomal RNA is filed under the name uncultured bacterium. RNAcentral's name for it is "partial 16S ribosomal RNA". It matches the Rfam family "Bacterial small subunit ribosomal RNA", at positions 29 to 507 of the family's 1533-position model. The record is from RNAcentral.